RNAcentral lists this ribosomal RNA (591 nucleotides) under uncultured fungus. RNAcentral describes it as "eukaryotic LSU rRNA". The stretch from base 199 to 352 matches the Rfam family "5.8S ribosomal RNA". The record is from RNAcentral. Lineage: Eukaryota; Fungi.
AGUAAAAGUCGUAACAAGGUUUCCGUAGGUGAACCUGCGGAAGGAUCAUUACAGAGUUCAUGCCCGAAAGGGUAGACCUCCCACCCUUGUGUAUUAUUACUUUGUUGCUUUGGCGAGCUGCCUUCGGGCCUUGUAUGCUCGCCAGAGAAAACCAAAACUCUUUUUAUUAAUGUCGUCUGAGUACUAUAUAAUAGUUAAAACUUUCAACAACGGAUCUCUUGGUUCUGGCAUCGAUGAAGAACGCAGCGAAAUGCGAUAAGUAAUGUGAAUUGCAGAAUUCAGUGAAUCAUCGAAUCUUUGAACGCACAUUGCGCCCCUUGGUAUUCCGGGGGGCAUGCCUGUUCGAGCGUCAUUUCAACCCUCAAGCUUAGCUUGGUAUUGAGUCUAUGUCAGUAAUGGCAGGCUCUAAAAUCAGUGGCGGCGCCGCUGGGUCCUGAACGUAGUAAUAUCUCUCGUUACAGGUUCUCGGUGUGCCUCUGCCAAAACCCAAAUUUUUCUAUGGUUGACCUCGGAUCAGGUAGGGAUACCCGCUGAACUUAAGCAUAUCAAUAAGCGGAGGAAAAGAAACCAACAGGGAUUGCCUUAGUAACG